AUGAACGCUGGCGGCGUGCUUAACACAUGCAAGUCGAACGGAAAGGCCCAAGCUUGCUUGGGUACUCGAGUGGCGAACGGGUGAGUAACACGUGGGUGAUCUGCCCUGCACUUCGGGAUAAGCCUGGGAAACUGGGUCUAAUACCGGAUAGGACCACAUUUUGGAUGGUGUGGUGGAAAGUUUUUCGGUGUGGGAUGAGCUCGCGGCCUAUCAGCUUGUUGGUGGGGUAAUGGCCUACCAAGGCGUCGACGGGUAGCCGGCCUGAGAGGGUGUACGGCCACAUUGGGACUGAGAUACGGCCCAGACUCCUACGGGAGGCAGCAGUGGGGAAUAUUGCACAAUGAGCGCAAGCCUGAUGCAGCGACGCCGCGUGGGGGAUGACGGGCUUCGGGUUGUAGACUCCUUUCGCUAGGGACGAUGCGUUAUGUGACGGUACCUGGUGAAGAAGCACCGGCUAACUACGUG
Molecule: ribosomal RNA, 465 nt
Filed under: uncultured bacterium
Lineage: Bacteria
Description: partial 16S ribosomal RNA
Rfam family: Bacterial small subunit ribosomal RNA
Source: RNAcentral